UGCACACUGUUAUUUCAACUAAUUUAAAUAUAAUUAUGGUUUUGUUUUGUUUUUGCUACCAGUUGCUGACACUACUCCAUUUGGUACCCAAGCCGAAGUCACAAUGAAAACCAACUUCUAUGGCACUAGGGAUGUUUGCAAGGAACUGCUGCCAUUAAUUAAGCCGCACGGUGAGAUUACCAGAAUUGCUUAAUCACAUAGUAAGAUAUGUUGAAAAGAGAUUUAAAUUCCAACUAUGAUGUUGAUAUAUGAAGGUAAGAAAGUGAUUUCCAAAUGUGCCACAAAAUGGGAGACAAUUAUUUUACUUCAAAUAGCAACUAGAUUCCUCCUUGAGUCAACAAGCUGUUAUCUCAUAUAUUAGAGUAGUACCACCAUUUUCUUUCAUUAUUAUUAUUAUUAUUAUUAUUAUCACCAAUUUCUAAUAUUAUGUUUACUUAUCCCAUGUACUUAGCAAAUGAAUGUUUGAGAGGUGCAAAAAAUAAAAAUUCAUUUAGAAAUCUACACAUCUCUGUCCUGAAGCUGGGAGCCUCCAUCUUAGUCAGUCAUUGUUAUAAGCGUUAAAAAAUAAAAACAAAAAGCUUGACAAAGACCUGAGUACAUGUUGAAAAUGUUGAAACGUUGCAGUAUCCAUUAAAGCUGCUUAACGGUGAGUGCCUGAGAUUUUCUUCCUUGACACAUUGUUAUAAGCGUUGUCCUUUGCACCUGGCUGUCAGCAUAUAGAAAGCAUACAGAGAGAGAGAAGAAAUAUACAAUCCUUGUGCUUCUCCUCAUUUGCAUUGUGUGCCUGGGCAGUGCCUCGACUGAAAUAGAUUGUGAAGCCAUUUACUAACUGUUAAAGGAUCACUAUAGGGUCAGGAACACAAACCUGUAUUCCUGACCCUAUAGUGCUAAACCCACCAUUUCGGUGGCUUGCCCCCCCUUAGCCCUGCUAUAAAAGUUUAAAACUCACCUUAUUUCUGUGGCGCUGGCUCUGCCCCCUUUGUGACAUAAUCAAAAUGGCAUUGGAUUGGCUAAAAUCAACAGUGAACAGACAGAGCUGUGGGUUUAUUGUGCUUAUGUACACAUUCUUACACAUUAGUACCACCCACAGGGUUUUGGAACACAACCAAUAAACACAUACAAUACACUCAGACACUCCCACACAAAUUCCUCCCCUCUGCAUGUGAUUCAAUUACCUUACACAAUGGGUAAUGUAAUUUAGCACAAGCAGAGAAAUACAAUUUUUCCACAUUAUUCAUAACUUGAAAAGUAUGCAUCACAUUCACAUAAAACUUACAUUUUCAGAAUCAGCAUACUCCAAAUACAAACAUACGUCAAAAUCAUACAAAUUGGUCCAGUGGUUCAAAAGAUAGAUUGUAGUCCUUUGUGACCACAGGAAGCAUGGCUUUUCUGCCCAAAACCAGUUCCACAGAGUCUUCUAUCCUGGAGAUAAUUAGAAGUAAUCCAAUUAUCUCCAAAGACAGAGGCAAAACUCCAUUGAACACAUGGCAGCAAAAGACAGUAAAAUACAAUAAAAUACACAAGGUUACAUUUAUGACAUAAAAUACAGACAUGCAACAUAUGCCCAGAUAGCUUAGGUCUGAGCGCACAUUAUUACUGAAUGGCGCUCAGAGCACACACAUACAGUUCAAUUGCCAUGGAGCCAAAGUCUUUCCCAUAGUCUUUCAUUAUACGAAUGGGCUCCAUGGCAUAGCUAUCUGGGGUAUCACUGCUCAAACAGGGCAAGCACCAAAUGACCCGGCUUUCUUGUCUUUGCAGGGGAAAAUCAAGCCUUUUAACAUGGGGCCAUAAUCCAAAGGCAACAGGCGAGCAACCAGGCUUCUCCAAUGCAAUGUGGCGAGAUUGCUCUCGUCACAUUAUUUAUAUAUAUAUAUUUUUAAGAAUUUAGUAGAUAUAUUCCACGAAGAAAAUAUGCAUGUAUUUGUGUCCAUAUGUUUUAUUUGGGGAAAGAUUAAAAUCAGCUUUGCAAGUACUCUGCUCUUUCCCUUUCUCUGGCGGCGCAGGGCUUAGCUCAUCAGCUGAGAUUCAUCAGAGCUUAUCUCAGGAGAGCUAGCGGAAGCAGACCCUAUGUAAGAAGUUAAACUACUAUAGUGGUUAUGGUGUUUGGAAUGUUCCUUUGAACGAUUGGUCUGUGAUAAUCCUUUGGAAAUAUGAAUCUUCUUAGUUAAGCACAUGCUAAAAUGAAUUUCAGAGGUGAUGGUGCACAGAGAAUCCUGAGCCUCCUCUUACCGCUGAGAGUGCUGUAGAACUGCAGUAAUGUUAAUAAUAUAAUCAAUGUUUCUGUUCCCUUAGGGAGAGUGGUCAAUGUUUCCAGCAUAGUUAGCUACAAUUCUUUGGGACGUUGCAGCCCAGAGUUACAGAAGGUCUUUCGCAGUGAGUCGAUCACAGAGGAGGAACUGGUCAAACUUAUGGAAAAGUUUGUAGAAGAUGCCAAGCAAGACAUACAUCAAAAAGAAGGUUGGCCAAACACUGCUUACGGAACAUCUAAAAUAGGAGUGACUGUGCUCUCCAAGAUCCAAGCAAGAGAGUUAGACGCAACGAGGAAAGGGGAUGGAAUAAUACUUAAUGCCUGUUGCCCAGGGUGGGUGAGAACCGAUAUGGCCGGUCCAAAUGCUCCAAAGUCUCCAGAUGAAGGUGCCGAGACUCCCGUUUAUCUGGCUCUCCUGCCGCCUGAUGCAACGGCACCUCACGGGGAGCUAGUUAGCGAAAAGAAAGUGGUGAAGUGGUAACAAUAUGUGUUGGCUUACUAGUGGGUCAAAUGAGCUUUGGAACUACAUCGUUUAUAUUCUAAUUCCCAUAAAAUGUUAUCAGCCACUUCGUUUGUUCAUGCCUGCCUUUAUUUGUUUAUGCGUGCUGCAGUCAAUUAUUGUUUGAUUGCAUUUUUGCUAGUUUUACAAAACAUCCUUGCCUCUACUCAUUGCUCUUUGAUUUGUAUAGUUUUUUUGUCUUCUUUUUAAUUUUUUCAUAAAAAAUACUUAAAACAGUGUUUUGAUUGUGAAUUAACAUUUUAACAUUAACAUAAAGGGACACUAUAGUCACAGAACAACCACAGCUUACUGAAGCCGUUUUGGUGUAUAGGUCAUGGCCCUGCGGUGUCACUACUCAAUUUUCUGCCAUUUAGAAUUUAAAUCUUUGUUUAUGCAACACUAGUCACACCUCCCUGCAUUUGUCUUGCACAGCCUUCCUAAACACUUCCUGUAAAGAGUUGUCUAAUGUUUACACUUCCUUUAUUGCAACGCCACCUCACGGGGAGCUAGUUAGCGAAAAGAAAGUGGUGAAGUGGUAAUCAUAUGUGUUGGCUUACUAGUGGGUCAGAUGAGCUCUGAUGUGGAACUACGGUGUUUAUAUGCUAAUUCCAAUAAAACUUUAUCAGCUACUUCAUGUGUUCAUAACUGCCUUUAUUAGUUUGUGGCUACUACAGUCAAAUAUUGUUUGAUUGCCUCUUUGCUAAAUAUACUAAACAUCCUUGCUAUACUCAUUGUGCUUCGAUGUGUAUACUUUUUUUUUUUUUUUUAAAUGAAAAAACAAAUACUUAAAGGGACACUGUAGGCGCCCAGACCACUUCAGUUAAUUGAAGUUGUCUGGGUGCUGUGACCCUUUUGCAUUUAGUGCUGCAAUGUAAAACAUUGCAGUUCCAGAGAAGUAGAUGUCUACAUUGCAGCUCUAAGUCUGCCCUCUGUGGCUGUCUAACAGAGAGAGCUUCCAGAAUCUAAAUGGACUUUUGGUCCGUUAUUUUGAAAAUUGGGCUGACUAGAUGGGCCGAAUGAUUCUUAUCUGCCGUCACAUUCUAUGUUUCUAUCUGAUGCUGGACAUCCUCACGGACCUCCAGCGUCAGAUUUUCCCCAUAGGAAAGCAUUGAAUAAUGCUUUCCUAUGGGAAGGUCUAAUGUGCGCGCGCACCCAUUGCUGCGCAUGCGCGUUAGGUCUCCCCUGCUGGCUGAUGUCGGGGGAGGGCGGAGCCUGACCCAGUGGGGGGGAGGGGGGGACCUAUUAACCAUAUAGUGCUAGGAAAAUGGCUUUGUUUUCCUGGCACUAUAGGAUCCCUUUAAAACAGCGUUUUGAUUGUGAAUGAACAUUUUGUAUAUUGUGCAGCCCUGAAGAAAUUGUAUCUGGUAUAAUUCAAGUCUAGUUAAUUAUCCAGAAUUGGUUCUAGUUGAUUCUCUAGAUCAGUGGUUCCUAGCCCAGUCCACAAGUACCCCCUAACAUUCCUAGAUAUAGGGGUUACCCAGUUGUGUUGCAAUGGCAAUUUCUUCAAUACUUAGUUGUAUUAUUAUUGAAUUUGUUUUACAACCAUUGCAGUGUUGUUGUGAAUUUUCAUAUCAUCAUGUAUGCUUCUAGGACACAUAUAAUUUUUACAAAUCCACAGAAAGUGCUGCCCUGCAGUAUGUCGGUGUCAAAUGCUGCAGGUAGUAAAUCAGGUCAUAAGGAGUGGGGGGGCUGUCCGCACCGGGUGCCAUCAGGUAGGGGGUGCCAGCAGGGCUGGCCAGGCUUGGAGUUCAGUGAGCUGUGUGGCUGCACCAGGUGCCAUAGCAGCAGGGGCGCCGGGCAGCCGACAGAGCUCACACGCAGGGGCUGGGAGCAGGAGCAGGAAACCUGGCUGCACAGUGAGUUGGGGGCAGAGCUAAAACGGCCAUGGGGGCGGAGGUAAAUGUAGCCUCAUACUGCUGUACACAGAAGGAGUCCCUGCUUCUCCAUCUACAACACAGGAAGGACUGAAUCCACUCCUCCUCCAGCCCAAGCUUACUGUAAGUAAGAGAGUGUGUGCUGUGUAACUGAUUGUGACUGUCUUUGACUGUGUGUGUGACUGUCUGCUUGUGAUUGUCUGUGUGACUCUGUGUGUGUGAUUGUCUGCCUCUGUGUGUGUGUGACUGCCUGCCUGUGAUUGUGGGUGUGUGUAUGAGUGACUGUCUGUGACUGUGUGUGUGUGUGACUGUCUGCCUGUGAUUGUCUAUGUGACUCUGUGUGUGUGAUUGUCUGCCUCUGUGUGUGUGUGACUGCCUGCCUGUGAUUGUGGGUGUGUGUAUGAGUUACUGUGUGUGUGUGUGUGUGUGUGUGUGUGACUGUCUGCCUGUGAUUGUCUGUGUGACUCUGUGUGUGUGACUGUCUGCCUGUGAUUGUGGGCGUGUGUGUGUGACUGUCUGUGACUGUGUUGUGUGUAUGUGUGAUUGUCUGCCUGUGGAACUCGCUUCCCUCCUCCGUUAGAUGCUCACCCAGUCUCCAUUCCUUCAAAAAAUCGUUAAAAACCCACUUCUUCGAGGGCGUGGCCUGACCGGGAACCAAGAUGGACGUGUUCGUGUAACGCUCCUCACCGACCCCGAUACCAAUAGCUAAUAUUAGCCAUCUCUCUAAAGCUUUUCCCCGCCAUCUCCCUCACCGCUGAAGAUGGACAAACGCACGCCCAGAAAGCAGCCCAAAAAACACGCCGAAGCUGCAGCAACGGUGAAAGACCUUUUCGCGGCCUCACGCCAUUGCCGCCAAGACUCUCAAGAUGGCGCCGAGGACAAUCUGAGAGCCCCUGCCACACCAUCGGACGAUACACCGUCCCCUACGCAGCGCUCACCAGCACCCGAAACGGCACACAUCCUCGCUGAAAUGGCGGCAAUGAAAUCCUUCCUCGCCCGAGAAAUAGAGAGGAGCUCCAAGGCAGUCAUGGCAGAGAUACACUCACUGGGGGCCCGGACCUCCGAAUUGGAGCAGCGGGUCGAGACCACAGUGGCAGCACAUAACACUGCCACAGACCACAUCAACGUGCUCACCUCCCGCCUGGAGGCAUCAGAAGCCGCACUAGAAGAUCUUGCAAACCGCUCGCGCCGCAACAACCUCCGCAUAAGAGGCUUGCCAGAACAAGCAGAUGAAGGCCCUCUUGCGGACACCAUACUGGCCCUCCUCCGACCCCUCCUGCCAGAUAUUCCUGAUGGACACUGGCACAUAGACAGGGCACAUAGGGCCCUGCGCGCCCGAAGAGAGGAUAUCACACGGCCCAGAGAUAUAAUAGUGCGCUUUCUUCACUUUCAAACUAAGGAAGCAGUACUGAAAAAGGCUAGAGACACCCCAAUCACGCAUAACAAUGCAACAAUAUCCCUCUUUCAAGAUCUUGCCCCCAUCACACUCCAGCGCAGACGUGAAUGGCGUCCGGUGACAGAUCUACUCAGAGCCAACUCCGUGAGAUACGCAUGGGGCCACCCUUUCAAGCUGAUGGUCUUGAAACAGGGUAGGCCCCACACCCUCCUACCCGGAGCAAAUCCCACACCAUUCCUCCGAGACCUGGGCAUUGUGCCCCCCAAUAAUCUCAGCCUGCCUACGGCCGCACUUCCAGCACUCCGUACCCUGCCGCGAGAGUGGCACAUGGCAGCGGAAUAGAAUGCACCCGGACCGCUGCCCACAACGUUGGACCCACCCGCUGCCCGCAUCACCCCUCAGCCUGACACCUCAGGGACCCGCAGACCGCAACAAGCAACAAGCCCACUACAGCAAGGCACAAGAAGACUCUCCACAUCCGAACAACCUCUACUGACUCACCAAGGAGCAACACUGUGUCCGACAGACACCCGUCUACCUCCCAUGUACAGCACCUGAACUUCUCCUCAGCGAACUGCCCCACACCUACUCACCUGCUUCAAUGGGGCCACUUCACCGCCCAGCAGGAGGCAUCACCCAGGGCAAAGGCACUACGGAAGACUCUAAUUGGACUGACAGCAAGGCUAUCCAUAGAUCGCCUUCAACACGACCGCCAUCACCUCCGGCCAACUGAGCUGUAAUGUAUUUCCAGCACACACAAAUGUGACUCAUUAGGCUAAGGUAGUAUACACUCCAUACGAACCUGUCACAGCUGCUCUGACACGCACACAGUAGGGACAUACCAACGAGCACACACUUAUUAAAUUAAAAUUUACUAAAGUUUUUAUUUAAAAAAUUUUUUAAAAAAAUACACCAAACAAAAAUACCCCCCCAAAAAAAAAAAAAUUUAAUAAAAAAUACACCAAACAAAAAUACCAAAAAAAAAAAUGAAUCAAUAAAUACACCACUCAACAUGAUCAGGGAUCACAGCUGGAACAAGACCACACACGCUCCGACAGGCCCUGCCGCUGGGACGGGCGCAUACUUACGGCACCGCACCGCUAUCGUACAGAAACGGUCACGGCAGGACACCCUCAGGGCUACCUACUAAGCAAUGCCACUGCCUAACGAUGAUGUCACAUGAUGCACCGGUCACAUAGAGGGGCGAGAAGCCAUGCACUAUAUACAGAUAACCUAGCAUUACUUCAGGGCAAAUGAUAAUGAUAUAAACAUGAAUGUAUAUGUGAUACCUGUACUGCAAAUUUUACAAUGUUUACCCUGGCUCAAACACAACGAUGUGUCCACCCCUACUUCCAAUAACCCAUCCCAUCCCACACGGGAACCUUCAGCUAAGGAACACAUUAGGUGAUAUAGCGUCAGAUAUAGGUGCCCAUGGGAAAUGAGAGUAGUACGGGUCAAGCUGGACUCAGCCACACAAGAGAUUAGCUCAGCGCAACACCAAACCCUGAUGUACCACACGCCCGUGCAACACAGAAUACGGGGUAGACAGGGUACAACACCCCCCCACCACCACCCCUCACCCCAGGCUUAACAUUAGCGCCUAUAGCGCUUUACCCUGACUGUCAGUCACCCCCGCACUAAGAAAACAGGAUAGUCCACUUCUACUCCACACUCCCACACACACCCUGGUCCUAACUCUGGGUAUCCAACAGGGCAGCGCAUCCCUCUCCAUCCUCAUCCCCCCCCCCCUUAUCACGCGCUUCGCACUACUGCAUCUAAACAUACCUAGACGGGGAGGUCCACCGACCAUCCAAUCAUUCCACCACAGCAGCAUAAUCCUCCCGCAGACUGGGACAUAACAGUAAGGAAACUACUACCCAUAACCUUUCCUCGAUAUUAGCGUCACUCAGCACAUCGUUUAAAUGACAGUUUUAUGGUAUAGGGGUCACUCUCGGUGACUUGGUUCAUGACCCAGACCCCCCAGACGGCAAGAGACCGGAAGGAGGCCAGGGUCCAGGUACCCCCACACAGUCUGGCACCUCAUAAGACCAGACAGGUACGAUUGUGCCUCAUCCUCACCCCCUUACCCCCUACUCCACUCCUUUCCCCCAUCCCAAUAUCUACGUCAGCACAAUACAAUCCAACCCCUACCCCAAGCACAACUCGGUCACGGAACGCAACACUGACAUACCUCCGGCGGAGAUCCCGCCCGCGCAGCAAGCGUGGGGAGCGGAGGUGGGAGAGGGGAAUGCCCCGCGUCAUAUUCCAACAUCUCUACCCCAUGAGAGAUGCUUCCAACCCACCACCAUGACAAUAAAAAUAACCUCACUCAACGUGAAGGGCCUCAACGCCCCGCGCAAGAGGCGUACGCUCUUUAGAGAACUGAAGAGACUCAACCCGGACAUCGCGUUCCUACAAGAGACGCACUUGCCCAGGUCUCCCUCCGCGACCAUACCUAUCGGGUAGCCGCUGAGGCACGAGCCUUCCAAAAACGAAAUGGGGUAAUUAUCCUACUCCACAAGCGAUGCCCUAUGCACAUCACCCAAGUGGUAAGCGACCCAGAGGGACGAUACAUAAUAGUCACAGGCCGAAUAUUCUCACAAACCAUACACUUGAUCAACAUUUACGCCCCUAACGCCCCAUCCUCACAAUUCUGGAACCAGAUGGCAGUCACAGUUCUGUCCCUGCCUGGUGGUUUGGUGGUGCUGGGAGGCGACCUUAACGCCACCCCCUCCCCAGCAAUUGACAGACGCACGCGCCCGGGGAUGGCAAGAUCCCAUGGCAUGGGGGCUCAAGACAAACAACUACAUAACUUCAUCAGUAAAACGGGUCUCAUAGACGCGUGGAGAGCACAACACCCCAGUCACAAAGACUAUACCUACUACUCUCCCCCCCACGAUACCUAUUCGCGCAUAGACAUGUUUCUGACUAACCAAACAGGCUUCACGAAAACUCGAAAAACGGAAAUAGGCUCUAUUGCCUGGUCCGACCAUGCAGACAUUGCUAUCUAUCUGGACGGCCUACUCAACCCUACCCCCUGGACAUGGAGGCUUAACGCAUCCCUGCUCAAAGACCCCCUGGUCGUAGCGGACGUCCAGAAACGACUAAACACAUACUUCACAGAAAAUCUAACACCUGACAUCCCAAUGACAGUAGUAUGGGCAGCACACAAAGCUGUAAUCCGCGGCCACCUCAUCAAGAUAGCGACACACAAAAAAAAGUUCAAAACCCAAAAGCUCACCCAGCUACUGGACAUUCUCCGUACGGCGGAGCAACGCCAUAAAACGGACCCAAACCCACAAACACUACAACACUUGCAAGACACCCGCCUAUCCAUUAGACAACUGCUGAUAGACGAUACGGCACGGGCACUGACAUGGACCAAGCGGACAUAUUACGAUAAAUCAAAUAAAAUGGACACGCUGCUAGCCCGCACAUUACGCCCCAGAACACAACGCCCUCACAUCACAUCCAUACGAGGCCCAGAUGGCACCAUGAAAUCCACACCGACAGAGAUAGCACAAGUCUUUACCUCCUUCUAUGAGGCCCUAUACAAUCACGCUCCCCAAGGCAGCACCCUGACCGCGGCCACUUGCCAAAAGACAUCAGAAUUCCUGACACGCCUUGAUUUACCCAAACUCCACACCACAGCCAUAGCGGAACUAUCAGCCCCGAUCACCAAAGACGAAAUUAACUUGGCCAUUUCCUCGCUAAAGAGCAACAAAGCCCCGGGCCCAGAUGGCUAUGAGGGAAGCUAUUACAAAACAUUCCGAGAGGAACUGCUGCCACACAUGGAAACCCUAUUCCAGAAUUUAAUGGAGGGAUCCCCACCAACUAAGGACAUGACGCAAGCACACAUUAUACUACUACCCAAACCUGAUAAAGACCAUACGAGACCAGAGGCGUACAGACCCAUUUCCCUCAUAAAUCAUGACAGUAAAAUCUUAGCCAAAAUACUUGCAACGCGACUUAACCCAUACCUCACUCGCCUUAUCCACACAGACCAGGUCGGGUUCAUUCCCGGCAGACAACUAUUCGAAAAUACGAGACGAAACAUAGACACGAUAUGGACACUCUCUACAACCAAAACACCAGCGAUAACCCUCUCCCUUGACGCUGAAAAGGCGUUCGACAGGGUGAGCUGGCCCUACAUGUUCACACUGCUGGAACACUUAAACAUACCCCCCCCUUCAUCACGACAGUUCGAGCACUAUACACAGACGUAACAGCGCAAAUAAAAUUGACGGGGUCAAACAGUCCACGCUUCAACAUACACAACGGCACUCGACAAGGCUGCCCCCUCUCACCAUUGCUUUUUGUAUUAACUCUCGAACCACUCCUACAAGCAAUCCGAGAACACCCAGACAUUACAGGGGUGAGCAUAACGGACCAAGAAUUCACAGUCUCCGCAUAUGCGGACGACGUCCUUCUCACACUGACUAACCCCAUCAACUCCAUACAAGCCCUAAUGCCCCUAUUACGGACCUAUAGCUCCAUAUCGGGUUACAAGGUCAACAUGGAGAAAUCCAGUGCUCUCCCAUUAUUCCUCACUCAAAACGAAAUUGCCCAAAUUACAUCAGACUACCACAUACGCAUAUCGCCAACCUUCAUCCCCUACUUAGGCAUAAAAUUGCCGGCAGACCCCGCGGCACUUUACAACUUAAACUAUUCCCCAAUGAUUACCAAACUCAUAGCGGACAUGGAGACCUGGGCGGACAAACCAAUUUCAUGGAUCGGGAGGAUUCACUCGGUCAAGAUGAAUAUCUUACCCCGGAUCCUCUUUCUCUUUCAAGCCCUACCCAUUCCCAUUACGAAACAUGACCUAAAGCCAUUACAGCGGACCAUAGACCGCUUCAUCUGGCACAAUAAGAGACACAGGGUAGCCCGCAAUAUACUAUACCGCCCCAAAGCGAGAGGAGGCCUCGGCCUUCCACACCUGCACUUCUACUACAUUGCAGCCCACCUCACACAAAUAGCACUAUGGCAUUCCCCUCCAGACUCCAGGAGAUGGGUCGACCUGGAAACUCUGAUAAUGAAAUCAGAUCUCCCACAGUUUUACAUUUGGACCCCUAAAGAGCACAGAGCACUCAUCAGGACCAACUGCCCAGCCAUCACCAACUCAAUCCAUAUCUGGGACAGAUACGCUAUAAAAUACGAACUUACAACAAUAACCUCUCCCCUCACCCCCAUAUACCGAAACAGGGCAUUUGUCCCAGGCAUGCGGCCUAGAGAUUUCAAAGGCUUAGAGAGAGCAGAUCUCCAGCGAGCCCACCAACUAUACAUAGGAGAAGAAAUAAUUCCGUUUUCGGAAUUACAAAAUAGAACGACUCUGACCCCUGCUGAUUUCUUCAGGUACCUCCAACUCCGGCACUUUGCUAGCCAAGAGUCAGUUAAACUAGCAGCCAAAGCUAAAUUGACUUUCUUCGAAAAAAUAUGCCUAGCCAAACACUACCAAAAGGGCAUGAUAUCCCUCCUGUACUCCCACCUCUGCUCCACCACGCGGGAAUGGGGCCCCCUCCAUUACACAGACAAAUGGGAGGAUGAUCUCGGGGAGGUUUUGGAGGGCAUAGAUUGGCAAGACAUAUGGGAGGCAAACGCCAAAACUUCCAUAUGCGUCACAAUGCAAGAACAAUCCUACAAAACGAUGUUUCGGUGGUAUACCACCCCAGUCCAAUUGUACCACAUGAAAAAAACACCCACAGACCUCUGCUGGCGUAACUGCGGAGAGAAAGGGACGUAUGCCCACAUGUGGUGGCACUGCCCCAAGAUCCAAUCAUAUUGGAAAGCCAUACAAACACUAUCAACCCAAAUCAUAGACAGACCUGUCUCAUUGAACCCAUGGUCUUUCCUACUAGGCAGACCCCAAAAGGACUGGCCCAAACCAAACCAACAACUCCUCAAUAAAAUAACGCUAGCGGCCAGGAGAGCAGUAGCCCAAACUUGGCUACAGCAAGACACCCCUUCAGUGGCAAUAGUGAUCAACAAGAUCAAAGAAUGCCAUCUCAUGGACAAACUCACGGCCCAAAUCCGAGGCUCCUCCAAGGCCUUCUCCAAGACAUGGGAGCCCUGGGAAACGUAUAGUGACCAAUGACGACGGGAUAGCCGACGGAACAUACAAAUACAACCGACAGACCGAAGUACACCCCCCCCCCUCUCCUCUACACCCAUCCUCCCCCCUCAACCACCAUAGUUAGGCCGAGACGACCGGUACCCCGGCCUUCAGUUCUUUCCAUUUUUUAAAUUUUUUUUUAUUUUUCUCAUUUUUUAUUUUGUUUCCAUUCCUUGUUGUAUAAUACUUAUUUGUUCUUCGUUUGUAAAAAGACAAUGGAUGAAAGUAGCAAUGUAGUUAAAACAUAUCAAACCCGGAAUAUAUCUUGUAAUGUAUUUAUGCUUGAAAAAUUAACACCUGGAAAACGAAUGGGCUCUUGCAUGAGCCACACAUUGUACAUUGCCUACUCCAUACCGUUGCAAAAUAAAGAAUUAUAAAAAAAUAAAAAAUAAACACUUUUUCAUAAAAGCGUAUCACUUAAAUAAUAUAAUAAUAAUAAUAAUAAUAUUAUAUAAUAUUAUUAUAUAAUAUUAUUAAUAUAAUAAUAAUAAUAAUUGGCAUAUGCUAAUUAGUAUCUGAUUACAAACAGUUGGAUGAGUCAUCAGUAUACUGAGCAUGUGCAGGAAUGCAGGAACUGAAAUCACACUCCUUUCUCCUUUGUUUCGGAUGAGCCAUGUGGUCUGCCCAUAUAAGGUGAUCCUGAAUAUCCUGUGUGCUGAUUGGUCUGAGGAAUAUAGGGGGGGUUAUACUGUAUGGGAGGGGAUAUGCUCGUAACAAAAGUCCUCUGCACCAUGCUUUAUGCCUCUCAGAUAUUUUUGGAACGAGUUCAUCUGAGACCCGAUCGGUGUGUAAAUAAAAGACCUGUUACUUCCUGAAGACUUGUGUCCAUAUCUCUAUGUGUGGCUUCUGCGGUUUGUUCCUGUUAUUCCUCCGGUAACAGGACCUGAAUGCAAGCUCUAUAUUUAGACCUGUGACUUUCCAAAACACUAUAAAACCUGUACAUGGGGGUUACUGUUAUACUCGGGAAACUUCGCUGAACACAAAUAUUAGUGUUUCAAAAUAGUAAAACUUAUCAUGUUGAUGACAUUACCAGUAAAAGUGCAGUUUUUGUGUAAAAAAUGCAAAAAAACAAAUAUGAACGCCAACUUUGGCCAGGGUUUGCGACUAAGUGACUACUUACACAGACUGGACAUACCCUAUUUAGAAUUCCAUCGGUUUUUCUAUUUUUUCAAAUGUUAUGCCAUGUUGGGGGCAAUUCUCAUUCCUGGGAAAACGUAAAUGGGCAAGUCUUAUAUUUGACCCUGUAACUUCCAAAACACCAUCAAACCGGGACAUUUGGGGUACUAUACGCGAGACAUUACUGAACACAAAUAUGAGUGUUUUAGAGCAGUAAAACAUAUAACGCUAAUGAUAUCAUUGGUGAAAGGGCAGUUUAUUUGGGAAAAAUGCAAAAAAACAAAUAUAAACUCUAACUUUGCCAGUGUUUGUGACUAGGUAGCUACGAUAAAAGACUGGACAUACCAAUUUUGAAUACCCUGGAUUGUAUACUUUUACAAAUGGUAUGCCAUGAUAGGGGUCAUUUUCAUUCCCUGGCUACCAUACAGUCUCAAAGGCAACAUAUGGCCAACAAACCAAUCUGACAAAUUUCAAUGUAUAGAAACUGAAAAUGAGGAAAGCUGUUUUUUUGAUCCUGUAUCCUUCCAUAAUACCAUGCAACCUGUACUUUUGGGGGUACUGUUAUAUUCGUGAGACAUCCCUGAACACAAAUAAAUAUUUAUAUUUGAUGUGAAAUGAAGAAGAAAAUGAUAUAUAGUAUGUGUGGGUGUACAUAAUAUGAACAAGGUAAAUUAUGGUUGAACAGACAUAUGGUUCAAAUUGCUUUAAUCAGAACUUGUAAAAUUGGCUUUGUCCUUAAGGGGUUAAAAAGAAACGGUGAAAUACACUGAAUGCAUGGUAAUAUUGCCAAAAAGGCAUCUCAAAAGAGCCUAGGACAGGUCCUAAUGAGUUAUACUGCAGGUGGCGCUGUUGGAGAAGACAAAGUGAUACACUGUUUGGAGAAUAGAACAUCAACAUUAAGAUUGUAGGGGAGUAGUCUGUGCUGUUUCUGCCUCCCAUUUAGGGUGGUCUUAUAUCUCAACCCAGCCUUAUGGGUGGGAUCUUCAAACCAAGCCUGUUCUCUGUUAUAAUAAGCACAGUAUCCCUAAGCUCCUGUCCCUAGCUUGCAUCAGCAGCUCAGGGUUACAUCAUGGCCAGUGUAAAGGUUGCAGUAGUCACAGGGGGCAAUAAGGGGAUUGGGCUGGCUGUAGUCAAAGCCUUAUGCAAGCAGUUCAGGGGGGAUGUUUAUCUCACAGCCAGGAACCCCAAACUGGGGGAGGAAUCUGUGAGGGCCCUGGAGAAGGAAGGAUUGUCCCCCCUCUUCCACCAGUUGGACAUCACUGACAUACCCAGCAUCCAGGCUCUCAGGGAUUUCCUAAAGGACAAGUAUGGGGGCAUUGAUGUACUCAUCAACAACGCUGGCAUUGCUUUUAAAGGUGGGUAUGGCUGCCCUGACUGCCCCUGGGGUAACAGGAAUGAAUGUACUGUGCACACACUGCUGUCAGGUAGUAAAGAAACUACUCUACUGGGGACAGAAGAAAGUUCAGUUCUCAAAUGGUUAAUGCCAAUAAAAGGACAAAGAGCAUAUCUGGGGGGGAGCUAUAAUUCCCAUGAUGCUUUGCAUGUUUUUAGAAUGGCAAAGCAUCAUGGAAGCUGUAGUUUUAAAACAUCUGGGGAUCUACCUUUUGGGCACCCCUGCUGUAAAGUAUAGAAUAUUUGGUCACUCUAAGCGUCACACCUACUUAAUGAAGUUCAGUAGUUUGUUGUAGGUGGUUUUGUGCAUAGAUGUUGGCCCAUUUAAACAUGCAGUGUUAAAGCCGCACUAUCACUGUUUGUGGACUUUGUCGAAUUUGUAAAGCCCGUCAAUGGUGAUAUCGCCGCUGGGGUCUGGUCAUUGCUGCACUCUAGUACAUGCGCAAGAGUACAGCAUUGAGGUCUAUGGGGAAGACCGCGGGAUCCUCCAUAAACACAGCCAAUUCCCUACAGCCGUCAUGGAUGAUGGCUGCAGGGAUUGACAUUUAGGUUCUACCUUCUGCUUGAUACAUGGCCAGGGAGGGGGGCUCUCAUUCCUUGGUGGUCCAGUGGCAUGGGCUGUGUAGGAGGGGGGCUGGCAGCAAGCUGUAACUUACCUUUCCUGCAGAGAAGAAAUACAGAGACAGAGUAGUCCCUAGAAGGGAAGCAGCUAAAACAUUUUCGAGGGGGGAGGAAUACUAUUACAGUAAAAUAAAUAUAUUUAUAUUUAAUGUUAACAUUUUCCUUUUAAAAAAUGUAAUACUUUUCUAGAAAAUUAUAUGAGAUACUGUUAUUAUGAAUGACAAUUGUUAUAUUACCAUAGGUGACAAUAUUAAAAUGUGCACGUAACAAACAUUUUGGUGUUAGUAGGAUUGGCAUCUCACGUGGCAGUUAAUGCCAAGCAAAAAUAGAAAAUCAGUAUUGUCACUUUUCAUUACUAAAUCAGGGGUAGGUGACCUUCAGCACUCCAGAUGUUGUGGACUACAUCUCCCUUGAUGCUCUGCCUGAAUCGUUGCUUUAAGAGCAUCAUGGGUGUUUCAGUAUCUGAAAGGCUGAGGGUUGCCCACCCCUGCCCUAAGUAAUAUAACCACCACACCCUGCUGUGUCCUGGCACCAUCUCCAGUUAGUGUCAAGCUGCUUAGGAACUGUUUAAUAUAAGCAAUGUAUGUCCCAGAGAGACACAUUGAUAAGAUAAUACAUAACUCACAAUAUUUCAAAUAGACAAAGAGGGGCGCUUUCAUUUUAGGCCAAAGUCGGGGCUAUUGUGAGAAGUUUUAGGUGACUUACUAAUAACAAUUUAUAUAAUUACGAUGUAAUAUAGAACAAGAACUGAUUUUUUUUAUCGACAGACCAAUUUCUAAACACAUUUAUUGUAGUUUAAAGACACAUUACUGGGAGUAUUAUUACCGUGGAGCUCUGUUAUACACUCACACACAUUACUGGGAGUAUUAUUGCCAUGGAUCUCUGUUAUACACUCAGACACAUUACUGGGAGUAUUAUUGCUGUGGAUCUCUGUUAUACACUCAGACACAUUACUGGGAGUAUUAUUGCUGUGGGGCUCUCUAAUACACGCAGACACAUUACUGGGAGUAUUAUUGCCGUGGAUCUCUCUAAUACACGCAGACACAUUACUGAGAGUAUUAUUGCUGUGGAGCUCCGUUAUACACUCAGACACAUAACUGGGAGUAUUAUUGAUGUGGAGCUCUGUGAUACAGUCAGAUACAUUACUGGGAGUAUUAUUGCUGUGGAACUCUGUUAUACAUUCAGACACAUUACUGGGAGUAUUAUUGCUGUGAGGCUCUGUUAUACACUCAGACACAUUACUGGGAGUAUUAUUGCCCUGGAGCUCUGUUAUACACUCAGACACAUUACUGGGAAUAUUAUUGCCGUGGAGCUCUGUUAUACACUCAGACACAUUACUGGGAGUAUUAUUGCUGUGGGGCUCUGUUAUACACUCAGACACAUUACUGGGAGGAAUAUUGCUGUGGGGCUCUGUUAUAAACUCAGACACAUUACUGGGAGUAUUAUUGCCGUUGAGCUCUGUUAUACACUCAGACACAUUACUGGGAGUAUUACUGCUUUGAAGCUCUGUUACACACUCAGACACAUUACUGGGAGUAUUAUUGCUGUGGAGCUCUGUUAUACACUCAGACACAUUACAGGGAGUAUUAUUGCUGUGGAGCUCUGUUAUACACUCAGACACAUUACAGGGAGUAUUAUUGCUGUGGAGCUCUGUUAUACACUCAGACACAUUACAGGGAGUAUUAUUGCUGUGGUGCUCUGUUAUACACCCAGACACAUUGCUGUGAGUAUUAUUGCUGUGGAGCUUUGUUAUACACCCAGACACACCAGCAACACAGAGCUCCUAGAAAAGAUGCACAUUAAAUGCAUUUUCUCUGAAAAGACAGUGUUUACAGCAAAAAGCCUGACGGUAAUGAUUCUACUCACCAGAACAAAUUCAAUAAGCUGUAGCUGUUCUGGUGACUAUAGUGUCCCUUUAACAGUUUGAGUGACUGUGGAAAGGAUGCCCAUUUAUAACAGUAAUUGCUGCCUUAAGAAGCAGGCUGGUUGCCCUGGUCCCUUUAACAAUUUUUCAUAAAUUUUCACAUUUCACUGCCAAUUCACCUCUAUUCUGUAGUGUGAAGUGUUUAGCAGUAAGCCUGGUCAGUAUGCAGGCAGUCAGACUUCAUUCUGAAUAUCAAGGUAACUACUGGCAAUUUCCUACCCAAUAAUUUUGCUUAUGGCCACUUUCAGAAUUUAAAGCAGCACUGUCACUGUCUGGGGACUUUGCCACUGGGGGUCCAGUGGCUGAAAGGGGGCAGGUAAAGGUCAGAUUAAAUUACGUAGAGCUAUCCUUCGCGGGCGUGGCCAUCUUGAUCCAGCAGGUCUUCUCCAGUUAAUGGCACUUCAGUGCCAACUGGUGUACUUUACUCUAAUUCCACCACUCCUCCUGCAGGCCCCCAGCAGCUUGUAUAGUAAAAUGGGGGCAAAGCACACGCGAUCUUCAGCUUCUAGAAGCUCUUUCCAACUCUCUCGAGCCACAGCCACUACACACAUCUUCCACAAGACACACCCACCCUUGGCAUCCACUACACACACAGAUACACUGUAUCCGCUGCGGGCAAACUCUGGGUUGUGUCAAAUGUCUGAUGGCAUCUCUGCAAUGUUCUUGUAACUUAUUCUAAUAAAAUUCUGGUAUUUAUUUUUUGCUACCAGUUGCUGACACUACUCCAUUUGGUACCCAAGCUGAAGUCACAAUGAAAACCGACUUCUAUGGCACUAGAGAUGUUUGCAAGGAACUGCUGCCAUUAAUUAAGCCACACGGUGAGAUUACCAGAAUUGCUUAAUCACAUAGUAAGAUAUGUUGAAAAGAGAUUUAAAUGCCAACUACAGUUGCAAGAAAAGGUAUGUGAAUCCUUCGGAAUGAUAUGGAUUUCUGCACAAAUUGGUCAUAAAAUGUGAUCUGAUCAUCAUCUAAGUCACAACAAUAGACAAUCACAGUCUGCUUGAACUAAUAACACACAAAGAAUGAAAUGUUGCCAUGAUUUUAAUAAACACACCAUGUAAACAUUCACAUGACAGGCGCACAGUCGGAUUUGCCGGCAUAUGCGCUAACCUUACCCAAACCCCAAUUAAGACACGGACACAGGUUAUACUGUUGGAAAUAAUUUGUCCACAGCUUUAUUAAAUUAUUAAUAAAAUAAUUAAGGAACAAAUGGGGUCAUUGCCAACAAAUCUUAAUAAUGUUAACCUCCCCCAUAUACAUAACAUACCCCUAGCAAUGACCCCACAAUAAUAACAAUAGAUAACAAUCUAAAUAACAUGUUAACACAGAAACUGGCCGUCCAAUUUGACCACAUUUCCACCAGGUUAAAUUGUAGGGGUGUACCGAGACACCGCUACCCACCAUAUCGAUUGUAGGGGUGUACCAAGACACCGCUACCCACCAUAUCCAUUGUAGGGGUGUACCAAGACACCGCUACCCACCAGUUCCAGUGUAGGGUGUACCAAGACACCACCACACCCCCAGGUUCGGAGCCACCGACGGGCUCGAACCUACCAACCACGUGCAACACUGCCCAAUCCACACUAAACCUCAGGAUGCCCACUUUCUCCUCCAUCUACCCUCCGAUUUAACCAGGCCAUUCCCCGCCGCUGUGAAAAAACGGGAAAUCAACUAACCUAACCAAAUACAGGGAGGGUGGGAGGGACAACUGACAGGUAAGCUUAGGUUCAGUUAAAAUGGCCACUUCAUAUAAUGGCUGGUAUAAAUACUCCCCUUAUGGCUCCGCCCUACCCAGCAUGCUAGCUGUCACUAAAUUCCUGUGGCUGCUAUGCCUACCUCCUGGCUCUGUCAAGGCCUAUUCCUCUUAGCUGCGCUGAUCCAUGGGCUACAGUGCAGGUGGAAAAAGUAUGUGAACCCUUGGAUUUAAUAAUUGGUUGAACCUCCUUUGGCAGCUAUAACUUCAACCAAACAUUUCCUGUAGUUGCAGAUCAGACGUGCACAACGGUCAGGAGUAAUUCUUGACCAUUCCUCUUUACAGAACUGUUUCAGUUCAGCAAUAUUCUUGGGAUGUCUGGUGUGAAUCGCUUUCUUGAGGUCAUGCCACAGCAUCUCAAUCGGGUUGAGGUCAGGACUCUGACUGGGCCACUUCAGAAGGCGUAUUUUCUUCUGUUUAAGCCAUUCUGUUGUUGAUUUACUUCUAUGCUUUGGGUCAUUGUCCUGUUGCAACACCAAUCUUUUGUUGAGCUUUAGCUGGUAGACAGAUGGCCUUAAGUUCUCCUGCAAAAUGUCUUGAUAAACUUGGGAAUUAAUUUUUCCUUCGAUGAUAGCAAUCCGUCCAGGCCCUGACGCAGCAAAGCAGCCCCAAACCAUGAUGCCUCCACCACCAUACUUCACAGUUGAGAUGAGGUUUUGAUGUUGGUGUGCUGUGCCUUUUUUCCGCCACACAUAGUGUUGUGUGUUUCUUCCAAACAACUCAACUUUGGUUUCAUCUGUCCACAGAAUAUUUUGCCAGUACUGCUGUGGAACAUCCAGGUGCUCUUGUGCAAACUGUAAACGUGCAGCAAUGUUUUGUUUGGACAGCAGUGGCUUCCUCUGUGGUAUCCUCCCAUGAAAUCCAUUCUUGUUUAGUGUUUUACGUAUUGUAGAUUCGCUAACAGGGAUGUUAGCAUUUGCCAGUGACUUUUGUAAGUCUUUAGCUGACACUCUAGGAUUCUUCUUCACCUUAUUGAGCAGUCUGUGCUGUGCUCUUGCAGUCAUCUUUACAGGACGGCCACUCUUAGGGAGAGUAGCAGCAGUGCUGAACUUUCUCCAUUUAUAGACAAUUUGUCUUACCGUGGACUAAAGAACAGCAAGGCUUUUGGAGAUACUUUUAUAACCCUUUCCAGCUUUAUGCAAGUCAAAAAUUCUUAAUCGUUGGUCUUCUGAGAGCUCUUUUGUACGAGGCAUCAUUCACAUCAGGCAACGCUUCUUGUGAAAAGCAAACCCAGAACUGGUGUGUGUUUUUUAUAGGGCAGGGCAGCUGUAACCAACACCUCCAAUCUCAUCUCAUUGAUUGGACUCGAGUUGGCUGACAUCGCUGUGAUUGUCUAUUGUUGUGACUUAGAUGAUGAUCAGAUCACAUUUUAUGACCAAUUUGUGAAGAAAUCCAUAUCAUUCCAAAGGGUUCACAUACUUUUUCUUGCAACUGUAUGAUGUUGAUACAAAAGAAGGUAAAAAAAAAAAAAAAGUGAUUCCCAAAUGUGCCACAAAAUGGGGGGAUAAUAUUUUACUUCAAAUAGCAAUUUGAUUUCUUCUUAGAUCAAAAUUUGUUAUAUCAUAUAUUGGAGUACUACAGCCAUUUCUUUGGAUUUCUAAUAUUAUGUUUACUUAUUCCAUGUACUUAGCAAAUGUAUGUUUGAGAAGUGCAUAAAAUUAAAAUACAUUUAGAAAUCUAGAAAUACAUCUAUGUCCUGUAACUGGGCGCCUCCAUCUUAGCUCCCUGUCAGUCAUUGUUAUAAGCGUUGUCCUUUGCACCUGGCUGUCACCAUAGAGAAAGUAUACAGAGAGAGAAGAAAUAUACAAUUCUUGUGCUUCUCCUCAUUUGCAUUGGGUGCCCUGGCUGUGCCUUGACUGAAAUGGAUUGUGAAGCCAUUUACUUAAUCUUAGCUAUAAGCUGAAAAUAAAACAGAACAUCACAUAAAAACGUUACAGGAGUACUUUAUUGGAAAUGUAUUUAUAUAUUUUUAACUAUUUAGUAGAUAUUCCCUCUCCCUCACCUCCCCCGAGGAAAUAUGCAUGUAUUUGUCUCCAUAUGGUUUCUGUGGGGGGGGAUAUUAAAACCAGCUUUGCAAGCUCUCUGCCUUUUUCCUGGCACAGACUUUCUCUGGCUUUGCAGAGAUUGGUCAGAGCUUAUCUGAGGAGAGUUAGCUUAAGCAAAUCCCAUGCAGAGAUCAAACUGCUAUAGUGGUUAUGGUGUUUGGAAUGUUCCUUUAAUGAUUGGUCUGUGAUAAUCCUUUGGAAAUGUGAAUCUUGUUGGUUAAGCACAUGCUGAAAUUAAUUUCAGAGGUGAUGGUGCACAGAGAUCCCUGUGCCUCCUCUUACCGCUGAGAGUGGUGUAGAACUGCAUUAAUGUUACUAAAAUAAUAAAUGUUUCUGUUCCCUUAGGGAGAGUGGUCAAUGUGUCCAGCAUGAUUAGCUACGAUUCUUUGGGACAUUGCAGUCCAGAGUUACAGAAGGUCUUUCGCAGUGAGUCGAUCACAGAGGAGGAACUGGUCAAACUUAUGGAAAAGUUUGUAGAAGAUGCCAAGCAAGAUGUACAUCAAAAAGAAGGCUGGCCAAACACUGCUUACGGAACAUCUAAAAUAGGAGUGACCGUGCUCUCCAGGAUCCAAGCAAGAGAGUUAGACGCAACAAGGAAAGGGGAUGGAAUCCUACUUAAUGCCUGUUGUCCAGGGUGGGUGAGGACUGAUAUGGCGGGUCCAAAUGCUCCAAAGUCUCCAGAUGAAGGUGCCGAGACCCCAGUUUAUCUGGCUCUCCUGCCGCCUGAUGCAACGGCACCUCAUGGGGAGCUAGUUAGUGAAAAGAAAGUGGUGAAGUGGUAACAAUAUGUGUUGGCUUACUAGUGGGUCAAAUGAGCUUUGGAACUACAUCGUUUAUAUGCUAAUUCCCAUAAAAUUUUAUCAGCCACUUCGUGUGUUCAUGCCUGCCUUUAUUUGUUUAUGCGUGCUGCAGUCAAUUAUUGUUUGAUUGCCUUUUUGCUAGUUUUACAAAACAUCCUUGCCUCUACUCAUUGCUCUUUGAUUUGUAUAGUUUUUUGUCUUGUUUUUAAUUUUUUCAUAAAAAAUAAAGAAUACUUAAAACAGUGUUUUGAUUGUGAAUUAACAUUUUGUAUAUUGGGCAGCCCCUAAAAAUAAAAAAAAUUCAAGUCUAUUUAAAGGGACACUAUAGUCACAGAACAACCACAGCUUAAUUUGGGUGUAUAGGUCAUGGCCCUGCAGUGUCACUACUCAAUUUUCUGCCAUUUAGAAUUUAAAUCUCUUUGUUUAUGCAGCACUAGUCACACCUCCCUGCAUUUGUCUUGCACAGCCUUCCUAAACACUUCCUGUAAAGAGUUGUCUAAUGUUUACACUUCCUUUAUUGCAA
This 22300-nucleotide long non-coding RNA is filed under the name Pelobates cultripes (western spadefoot toad). Lineage: Eukaryota; Metazoa; Chordata; Amphibia; Anura; Pelobatidae. The record is from RNAcentral.